AAGGUGGUGAAGCAAUUGAUGCCCCGCUUCCAGGAAAAGCCUCUAAGCUUCAGGUUACCAACAAUCGUACCCCAAACCGACACAGGUGGUCAGGUAGAGAAUACUCAGGCGCUUGAGAGAACUCGGGUGAAGGAACUAGGCAAAAUGGUGCCGUAACUUCGGGAGAAGGCACGCUGGCGGUAGGUAAAGUCCCUUGCGGACGGCGCUGAAGCCAGUCGAAGAUACCAGCUGGCUGCAACUGUUUAUUAAAAACACAGCACUGUGCAAACACGAAAGUGGACGUAUACGGUGUGACGCCUGCCCGGUGCUGGAAGGUUAAUUGAUGGGGUUAGCGUAAGCGAAGCUCCUGAUCGAAGCCCCAGUAAACGGCGGCCGUAACUAUAACGGUCCUAAGGUAGCGAAAUUCCUUGUCGGGUAAGUUCCGACCUGCACGAAUGGCGUAAUGAUGGCCAGGCUGUCUCCACCCGAGACUCAGUGAAAUUGAACUCGCUGUGAAGAUGCAGUGUACCCGCGGCAAGACGGAAAGACCCCGUGAACCUUUACUAUAGCUUGACACUGAACAUUGAGCCUUGAUGUGUAGGAUAGGUGGGAGGCUUUGAAGUGUGGACGCCAGUCUGCAUGGAGCCAACCUUGAAAUACCACCCUUUAACGUUUGAUGUUCUAACCUAGGCCCAUAAACUGGGUCGGGGACCGUGUCUGGUGGGUAGUUUGACUGGGGCGGUCUCCUCCUAAAGAGUAACGGAGGAGCACGAAGGUUGGCUAAGCAUGGUCGGACAUCAUGCGGUUAGUGCAAAGGCAUAAGCCAGCUUGACUGCGAGAGUGACGGCUCGAGCAGGUACGAAAGUAGGUCUUAGUGAUCCGGUGGUUCUGAAUGGAAGGGCCAUCGCUCAACGGAUAAAAGGUACUCCGGGGAUAACAGGCUGAUACCGCCCAAGAGUUCAUAUCGACGGCGGUGUUUGGCACCUCGAUGUCGGCUCAUCACAUCCUGGGGCUGAAGUAGGUCCCAAGGGUAUGGCUGUUCGCCAUUUAAAGUGGUACGCGAGCUGGGUUUAGAACGUCGUGAGACAGUUCGGUCCCUAUCUGCCGUGGGCGUUGGAAGAUUGAGAGGGGUUGCUCCUAGUACGAGAGGACCGGAGUGAACGCACCACUGGUGUUCGGGUUGUCAUGCCAAUGGCAUUGCCCGGUAGCUAAGUGCGGAAGAGAUAACCGCUGAAAGCAUCUAAGCGGGAAACUUGCCUCGAGAUGAGUCUUCCCUGUCGCUUUAAGCGACCUAAAGGAACGUUUAAGACUAAGACGUUGAUAGGCUGGGUGUGUAAGCGUAGCGAUACGUUGAGCUAACCAGUACUAAUGAACCGUGAGGCUUAACCUG
This 1369-nucleotide ribosomal RNA is filed under the name Proteus mirabilis. Its description in RNAcentral is "partial 23S ribosomal RNA". It matches the Rfam family "Bacterial large subunit ribosomal RNA", at positions 1579 to 2925 of the family's 2925-position model. Lineage: Bacteria; Pseudomonadati; Pseudomonadota; Gammaproteobacteria; Enterobacterales; Morganellaceae. The record is from RNAcentral.